This 504-nucleotide ribosomal RNA is filed under the name uncultured bacterium. Its description in RNAcentral is "partial 16S ribosomal RNA". It matches the Rfam family "Bacterial small subunit ribosomal RNA", at positions 30 to 523 of the family's 1533-position model. The record is from RNAcentral.
AUUGAACGCUGGCGGCAGGCCUAACACAUGCAAGUCGAACGGUAGCACAGAGAGCUUGCUCUUGGGUGACGAGUGGCGGACGGGUGAGUAAUGUCUGGGAAACUGCCCGAUGGAGGGGGAUAACUACUGGAAACGGUAGCUAAUACCGCAUAACGUCGCAAGACCAAAGUGGGGGACCUUCGGGCCUCACACCAUCGGAUGUGCCCAGAUGGGAUUAGCUAGUUGGUGGGGUAAUGGCUCACCAAGGCGACGAUCCCUAGCUGGUCUGAGAGGAUGACCAGCCACACUGGAACUGAGACACGGUCCAGACUCCUAAGGGAGGCAGCAGUGGGGAAUAUUGCACAAUGGGCGCAAGCCUGAUGCAGCCAUGCCGCGUGUAUGAAGAAGGCCUUCGGGUUGUAAAGUACUUUCAGCGAGGAGGAAGGCAUUGUGGUUAAUAACCGCAGUGAUUGACGUUACUCGCAGAAGAAGCACCGGCUAACUCCGUGCCAGCCGCCGCCGUAA